GCUUCAGAGAAACUUACUGCAAGUAAUCCUAUUGAGUAUUUUUGCUUGCAUUCUGUGCACUGAAAGCAUGUUGCCUAUCAGUUAUUUGAAUGUUACCCAUAUUACUAUAUUUCUUGUGAAUAGAUUUGUGAUUUCCUUGUUCAGACUCAUGCAUUUAUCUGCUGCCACUAUAAGAAAUAUAUUAGCGAGCAGGAUCUUAAAAUGCCUCGAACCUGUAUGGCUAUAAUGGUGAUACAUUGAAUAGUUAUACAGUAAUGAUGUCAUCCUAACAUCUAUUGGACAUUGGUUUUGGUCAUAUGGUCUAAAAUGAUGCACUUAAUGUGAGUGCAAUUCUUGUGUUUGAUGUGCUGCUUUUUAAUCUCUUCAUAUAUAUCUUUUUAGUAUUUUCCUAGAUCCUUUGUUUUAAGUUUGUCUUGUUAGUUAUGUGGGGAAACAGAAAACCGAAACAAAAUUGCCUAAACAGAAUUAUUUUUGAGACUUGUUUGUGGUCCUCAAAAUAAGUUCAUAAUAAUUUGUUUGACCCAGUUCUUUCGUUCAAUUAAUUUUCUUUUGAUGGUGUAAAUGUUAAACUUCUCGAAGAAAUCAUAUAAUUGCUAAUAUUAUUACAAAGCAUGUGUAUGUGACCCUUGCAUGUUUCUAUACGUUAACAUCAGCAUAUAUCCUUGUCAAAAAAUAAAUAAAU
This 682-nucleotide unclassified non-coding RNA is filed under the name Hevea brasiliensis (rubber tree). Lineage: Eukaryota; Viridiplantae; Streptophyta; Magnoliopsida; Malpighiales; Euphorbiaceae. The record is from RNAcentral.